RNAcentral lists this ribosomal RNA (305 nucleotides) under uncultured bacterium. RNAcentral describes it as "partial 16S ribosomal RNA". It matches the Rfam family "Bacterial small subunit ribosomal RNA", at positions 508 to 807 of the family's 1533-position model. The record is from RNAcentral.
ACAGCAGUCGCCGCGGGAAUACAGAGGGUGCAAGCGUUAAUCGGAAUUACUGGGCGUAAAGCGCGCGUAGGUGGUUCGCCAAGUUGGAUGUGAAAUCCCCGGGCUCAACCUGGGAACUGCAUCCAAAACUGGCGAGCUAGAGUAUGGUAGAGGGUGGUGGAAUUUCCUGUGUAGCGGUGAAAUGCGUAGAUAUAGGAAGGAACAUCAGUGGCGAAGGCGACCACCUGGACUGAUACUGACACUGAGGUGCGAAAGCGUGGGGAGCAAACAGGAUUAGAUACCCCCGUAGUCCCUGUCUCUUAUAC